RNAcentral lists this ribosomal RNA (253 nucleotides) under uncultured bacterium. RNAcentral describes it as "partial 16S ribosomal RNA". It matches the Rfam family "Bacterial small subunit ribosomal RNA", at positions 524 to 776 of the family's 1533-position model. The record is from RNAcentral.
UACGUAGGGAGCAAGCGUUGUCCGGAAUCAUUGGGCGUAAAGCGCGCGUAGGCGGUUACUUAAGUCGAAUGUGAAAGCCCUCGGCUUAACCGAGGAAGUGCAUCCGAAACUGAGUAGCUAGAGUACGAAAGAGGGUCGCGGAAUUCCCGGUGUAGAGGUGAAAUUCGUAGAUAUCGGGAGGAACACCGGUGGCGAAGGCGGCGACCUGGGUCGAGACUGACGCUGAGGCGCGAAAGCGUGGGGAGCAAACAGG